Molecule: ribosomal RNA, 510 nt
Filed under: uncultured bacterium
Lineage: Bacteria
Description: bacterial SSU rRNA
Rfam family: Bacterial small subunit ribosomal RNA
Source: RNAcentral
CAGGCCUAACACAUGCAAGUCGUACGAGAACUCUUCUGCUUGCAGAAGAUAGUAAAGUGGCGCACGGGUGAGUAACGCGUGGGUAAUCUACCUCCGAAUCGGGGAUAACCCGCCGAAAGGCGAGCUAAUACCGGAUAAUAUCUUUAAAACCUCGGUUUUUAAGAUCAAAGGUGGUCUCUACAUGUAAGCUACUGUUUGGAGAUGAGCCCGCGUACCAUUAGCUUGUUGGUAGGGUAAUGGCCUACCAAGGCCGCGAUGGUUAGCUGGUAUGAGAGGAUGAUCAGCCACACUGGAACUGACACACGGUCCAGACUCCUACGGGAGGCAGCAGUGAGGAAUUUUGCGCAAUGGGGGAAACCCUGACGCAGCAACGCCGCGUGAGUGAUGAAGGCUUUCGGGGACGUAAAGCUAUGUCAAGUGGGAAGAACCUGCUCGAUGUUACACACCAGAUAGCACUGACGGUACCANUAAAGGAAGCACCGGCUAACUCCGUGCCAGCAGCCGCGGUAA